Molecule: ribosomal RNA, 253 nt
Filed under: uncultured bacterium
Lineage: Bacteria
Description: partial 16S ribosomal RNA
Rfam family: Bacterial small subunit ribosomal RNA
Source: RNAcentral
UACGUAGGGUGCAAGCGUUAAUCGGAAUUAUUGGGCGUAAAGCGUGCGCAGGCGGUUUUGUAAGUCUGUCGUGAAAUCCCCGGGCUCAACCUGGGAAUUGCGUUGGAGACUGCAAGGCUAGAAUCUGGCAGAGGGGGGUAGAAUUCCACGUGUAGCAGUGAAAUGCGUAGAGAUGUGGAGGAACACCGAUGGCGAAGGCAGCCCCCUGGGUCAAGAUUGACGCUCAUGCACGAAAGCGUGGGGAGCAAACAGG